Molecule: long non-coding RNA, 576 nt
Filed under: Pan troglodytes (chimpanzee)
Lineage: Eukaryota; Metazoa; Chordata; Mammalia; Primates; Hominidae
Description: long non-coding RNA NONPTRT005149
Source: RNAcentral
GCAUAUGCUUCCUCUUUAGCAGAAACUACCUUUAGACCCUGUACGGAGGUUUACCCUAUACUCUGUCAAAACUCAUACAAAUCAUCACCCACAAGGUUUUCAUCACCACUUUCAAAAAGAUCAGACUAGAAGUAUGGAAAACCAUGGGGAAAGGACCACAGGAGACAACCAAAGUGCCUAUCAGAGAUGUCAAUACAGUCGCUGGGCCCAGACUGCUUGAUUCUCCAGCUAGGACUGCAAAGUAGUCUUCAAAUGAGAAUAGCAUCAUCAAGAAUCUGAAACAACACACAAGCUACUUCUUGCAAAUAGAGAAACUCCUUUCUCUUUACUUUCAUGAUGGCCUGUAGAGGAAUUUCUAUCCGAAAAAAAUACUCCUAGUUCCUCUCUGCUGCCUCAGUCUCCCAGAAAAGAAUUACUUUUCUGGUUAGAGCUGAUUAUGCUCAAUUUAACCAUUUUUUUCUCUCCUAAUUCCAUAUCUGCAUAUUUGUAGGAAGGAUCCACUCAGGUAUCUCUCUCUACAUAGACCAGGUUCACUGGUUGCCCAACCUUGCCAGGGACUGGCUGAAUAAGUCUGCC